GAUGAACGCUGGCGGCGUGCCUAAUACAUGUAAGUCGAGCGAACGGACGAGAAGCUUGCUUUUCUGAUGUUAGCGGCGGACGGGUGAGUAACACGUGGAUAACCUACCUAUAAGACUGGGAUAACUUCGGGAAACCGGAGCUAAUACCGGAUAAUAUUUUGAACCGCAUGGUUCAAAAGUGAAAGACGGUCUUGCUGUCACUUAUAGAUGGAUCCGCGCUGCAUUAGCUAGUUGGUAGGGUAACGGCUUACCAAGGCAACGAUGCAUAGCCGACCUGAGAGGGUGAUCGGCCACACUGGAACUGAGACACGGUCCAGACUCCUACGGGAGGCAGCAGUAGGGAAUCUUCCGCAAUGGGCGAAAGCCUGACGGAGCAACGCCGCGUGAGUGAUGAAGGUCUUCGGAUCGUAAAACUCUGUUAUUAGGGAAGAACAUAUGUGUAAGUAACUGUGCACAUCUUGACGGUACCUAAUCAGAAAGCCACGGCUAACUACGUG
Molecule: ribosomal RNA, 497 nt
Filed under: uncultured bacterium
Lineage: Bacteria
Description: partial 16S ribosomal RNA
Rfam family: Bacterial small subunit ribosomal RNA
Source: RNAcentral